GGUGGCUCAGUGGUAGAGUACCUGCCUUGCAUGUAUGAAGCCCUGGGUUCGAUUCCUCAGCACCA
RNAcentral lists this transfer RNA (65 nucleotides) under Dipodomys ordii (Ord's kangaroo rat). It matches the Rfam family "tRNA". Rfam says of the family: Transfer RNA (tRNA) molecules are approximately 80 nucleotides in length. Their secondary structure includes four short double-helical elements and three loops (D, anti-codon, and T loops). The record is from Rfam by way of RNAcentral. Lineage: Eukaryota; Metazoa; Chordata; Mammalia; Rodentia; Heteromyidae.